Long non-coding RNA from Lethenteron reissneri (Far Eastern brook lamprey), 916 nucleotides. RefSeq lists it as uncharacterized. Lineage: Eukaryota; Metazoa; Chordata; Hyperoartia; Petromyzontiformes; Petromyzontidae. The record is from RefSeq and is a predicted model, not a curated record.
UGUUCGCGUCAAACGUCCAAAAAUAAACAGAUCGUGGCAAUUAAAACUGUUUUUUAAGUGUUGCCAAGGGACCCUGUCAGAUGCGUGACUGAGACAAGACGAUAGGGGCCCAUCACCGUCGCAUUCUAUUGCUCGGGACACAAAGGUUAAGCGCAAGAAAUUUCCUUUAAAACUUUGCUCAUUGGUGAACCCUGGUUGGGUAAUUUUUUCCACUUUCAUUCGGUGGCCUCUCAUAGACCGACAGUGAACAAACAGUAAUUGUGGAGGAGUCGGAUUCGUUAUAGAAUUCUAGAGUGGAAAACAAAAGGCAUGCACAGCACGCUUGGUGAUUAUCAAUUGAAGGUAUCAGUCGCAGCAGGAGCUGGCAAUCAAAAUAACAAAGCCAUUUUUUUGGAAUUCGGCAACAACAACAAAAAAACCCUCAACAUUUCAAGAGCAGCAGUGCACGUGAACACGAGAACUGUGGCCCCUUAAUAAAUAACGUCACCAAGCGGCAGUCCUUGAAGAAGCCGCACGCGGCCUCGAAGCCACAGGCCCGCCGGCCCCUGUGUUGGAGCAAUACAACUGGACAACGUUAUAUGUAAUCUCGUCAGUCAGCGAUCGAAUGUGGUGAUCGUGGCCGGAUGGAAGGCAGCGGUUUGCCUAUUUUUGAGAAUCUGAAUCAAAAUCUCCAUGCGCUUAUCACCACCCGGAGCCCGGAUCUAAAUCGAAGCUCUCAGCUGUGCGGGAGCGAAACAUCAGAUGUGACGUGGAGCUGAGCCGUGGUGCGACCCGACGGCACAUCGGAAAGCCCGGGUUUCACUCGCCCGCAGAUGCUCGGUCCACUCCGCGCCCCGUGUGGACAGAGCUGGCGCAUGGAACAGGUGGCGGAGGAACGAUUGGCACCGUGGAGGGAUGAGGGACAUCUGAGGUCAGG